Molecule: RNA transcript, 15785 nt
Organism: Loxodonta africana (African savanna elephant)
Lineage: Eukaryota; Metazoa; Chordata; Mammalia; Proboscidea; Elephantidae
Gene: ALKBH3
Gene name: alkB homolog 3, alpha-ketoglutarate dependent dioxygenase
Exons: 11
Source: RefSeq, a predicted model, not a curated record
UGGUAGUUGCGGCCUCGGUGCCUCACGUCUAAGGUCCCCCAGGCCGCAGGCGGAGGAUUGGGCGCGGAGCAGCGGGAGCCGCUCCAGGACUGAGUGGGUUUAGGCCUGCGUCCCUGGUUCCACCAGCAGGUGCGGUCUCCCUGCUUCCCGCUGGGCGCCCAGGGGUGGGCUAUAGGGACCGCCCCUGAGGUCCCUUUUCAGGCGGUCCCUGGGCCCUCAUCCUGGGCCUUUUAGGAGGGCAAAAAGAUCUAAAUUAGAGAAAGGCGCUACACCUUACUGAGGACGAGGCUUUUUAACCUGCAUUGCUUGCUUAAUCUGUACUUAACCCGGGGGCAGGGGGCAUCUCCCAUGUUUACAGAGGAAGAAACCAAGGCUCGGGAAGUUGAAACCAUUUGCUUCGGGUUCUGCAGCUGAGAAGUGACAUCUGGAUUCAGCAUUGUGUGGUUUUGAGAAUCAGGAAUGAAACCUUGUGAAAGCUAAAAGCAGGAGCAUUUUUUGGUCAACAUGGAGGACAAAAGACGGCGAGCCAGAGUGCAGGGAGCCUGGGCUGGCCCUUCUAAGAUUCAGACCAGUGCUCAGCCUGCUACCACUGCUAAGAGCCAUCUCCACCAGAAGCCUAGUCAGACCUGGAAGAACUCGGAGCAUCAUCUGUCUGACAGAGAGUUCGUGUUCAGAGAACCCCAGCAGGUAGUGCGCAGAGCCCCAGAGCCACGAGUGAUCGACAGAGCGGGUGUGUAUGAGAUCAGCCUGUCACCCACAGGUGUGUCUAGGGUGUGUUUGUAUCCUGGCUUUGUUGACUUCAAGGAAGCAGACUGGAUAUUGGAACAGCUUUGUCAGGAUGUUCCCUGGAAACAGAGGACUGGCAUCAGAGAGGAUAUAACUUAUCAGCAACCAAGACUUACAGCAUGGUAUGGAGAACUUCCUUACACUUAUUCAAGAGUCACUAUGGAACCAAAUCCUCACUGGCAUCCUGUGCUGAGCGUACUGAAGAACCGCAUCGAAGAAAACACUGGCCACACCUUCAACUCCUUACUCUGCAAUCUUUAUCGAAAUGAGAAGGACAGUGUGGACUGGCACAGCGAUGAUGAACCCUCAUUAGGGAGGUGCCCCAUCAUUGCUUCGCUCAGCUUUGGUGCCACACGCACUUUUGAGAUGAGGAAGAAGCCCCCACCAGAAGAGAAUGGAGACUACACGUAUGUGGAAAGAGUGAAGAUACCCUUGGAUCAUGGGACCUUGUUACUCAUGGAAGGAGCUACCCAAGCUGACUGGCAGGAGUUUCGAUACUACUGACAACCAAAAUAGACCUCUACAACAGUGCUGUCUACUAGAACUUUGUGCAAGGAUGCAGAUGUUCUGUGUGUGCUGUCUAGUACGCAUCGAGUUCCCAAAGAGUACCACUGUAGAGAACCGAGAGUAAACCUGACAUUUCGGACGGUUUAUCCGGACCCUAGAGGGGCGUGCUGGUAAUGUGAGAUCCUUGAGAAAGAAGCUACCCUGAGAGCAGACAAACCGUGAAGGAACUUCAAGGGAGAGGCUGAGCCAGCUGGUCUCGUGAUCUGCUUGGAAGAUGGCUGUUUGGAAGAUGAGGGCGGGAUUUGUUUCCCAGCUCGGAGCCCUGUUAAGUGAGAGCCAGCAGUUCACGUUGGUAAUAUGUUUACUGUGGGAAUGGUAUCCCUAAUCACAUCUCGGAAAUGGCCUAGUAUCUUCCAGCAAAUUAAAACCAGCUGUGCUGGUGCUCACGGUGGUUUUGUCCAUACGCAGUUUCUCUCCUGCCCUCCCCCCUUCGUUUGGUGGACUGUGUCUCUGGGGAAACCUGCACGUGUUUGUUCCUUGUGACUCCAGUGAAGCAGAGAUGUAAAUACACGUCAGCGACUGGAGCCUUCCGUAGUCACACAGCUGCCGAAAGCCAAACAGAGGUGUUUUCAUGGAGCUUUGUUGAAGUCUGCCUUGACUCUUUAGCACCUGGACUUGUGUGCUAUUGUAAUGGAAAGCUGCAUAUUCAGGGAACACUCUGUGUUUAACCAGGACCCCUUGCCUGUCAGUCUUCCCGAGACACAUUCAAACAGGUCACAGGCCUCCCAAUAAAGAAUGAAGGCAGUAUCCUCCAGUCCAGCAUCUUCAAGCAGUCAUCUGGAUGACUUGUAAUACAAGAGAACACUGUUCCCAUAAAGGGAGGAAUAAUUGAGUGAUGUCAUGGGAAGAAACAGGCUGAAAUUGAGGCUGAAGAGCAGUAAAUGGCCUGCUAGUGACAGCUGUUCCACAUAGAUUAGUUUCCCCUAGAUAAUUACUUGAGUCAUUUGAACCCCAGCCAGAUAGGAGCGGGAGCAGUCCUGCAGGGAAUAGACUCGGUUACCUAAUAGUUCUCUUCCACCUUAGAUUUCAGUAGCCCUGUGACUAAGGCUCUCUUCUGACUCAGUGUUCUGUAUACAAGUUCCUGAGAUACAAGGGUUAGUCCAUGAUGUCACCGAGGCUCCCAAAACAGAACAAGAGUGGGUGCCCCUUAUUGCAUCAUAAAAGCACGUGUCUUCUUGACCUCUUGACUUAGGAGCAGUGUGUCAGAUUAAUUCCCAAACAAGAUACGGAAAACCUAAGAGAAAGAAAAUGAGUUUAGGUGAAUGAAAAUAGGGCAAGAGACUUAGAGUUCACCUAGCUUCUUUGGAGAAAAUUUACAGAGCCAUCUUGCUUUUUGUCCUGUUUCCUUUCCCCACUGUAAAAUUGAUGAUCCCCAUGACCAUGGUAAAGUGCCAAAGGUGGGGAAAGCUCUUACUCAGAACUGAGAUGUAGCGCUGUGCCUGGCCGGCCUCUCUUUUCUGCCAGGCUUUCUGGCUUCUUGCAUUGUAGUCAUUGUUAACAUAGUAGUACGUGCAUAGCUGCUUUCUGGAAGUACUGAAUGCUUUAUAAAAUCUAGGCAUCCUCCUAAGCCUUCCUAUGAAGGAAGUACAAAUCACCAUAAAAAUAAACUAAAACCUAUAUUUAAUUCCUAGCUGUUCUCCCAUUAAAACAAACAAAACCUGUCCAGGAUGGUGCAGCCAGGGUUGGCUAUGAGUUUGAUGCAUGACGCAGGAAAUUUGUCUUCUAUUCCUGUAAGUGAAAGAGCUGGCAAGCGGCUCCAAGCCUUACAGCAUCUCUGCUGAUGCCUCAGCUGCAGAUUUGAGCGCUAUGCCCAUCACUGCUGCGUCCGUCAGGGAGACUGGGUCUUACUCUAACGCAGACAGGUCGGGCCAGCACCAGAGAGCCUCAGUCUGAGAGCAGCAAAUCUGAGGUUUUGUUUCUUGCUGUCACCACAGACACCAUAUGCCAGAACUGCCAUUUUUCCCACCACUAAGCUAAUGUUUCUUCUGAAAUGUCAAGUAAGUACUUGGCAUAGAGUGAAAGCAACAGGCAGGGUUUUAGGAAUGGACAGGAAUCCCAGACCAUGGCAAAGCAGGAGCCAUGUGCAGCGACCCUGUUGCUAUGUUUUACUGGUAGCAGACCUUACUAGGAAUUGGAGGUGAAGGCACUGCUAACAUUACUUGAAAAACAGAGGAAGCAAUAUAAUAGUGGUAAUGUGAGGAAGAAGAAUAGGUUUGGUUUUUUUAGCUGCCCUCUUUUAGAGCUUCAACAACUUGCCAGGUACUGUCCAAGGUGCUUUUUUAAUACAUAAUCCCUAAUAGGGUCGCUAUGAGUCCGAAUCGACUUGAUGGCAGUGGGUUUGGUGGUUUUUUUUUUUUUUUUUAAUCGUCACCACGGCCCUGCAAGAGAGAGCUACUCUUCCCAUUCUAGGAAACUGAGUCUCGGAGAGGUUCAGUAAUGUAGCAGGACUUGUAAGCAGCAGAGACAGAAUUCAGACAGCUCUACUCCUUACAUCUGUGUGCUUCUCCCUCUACCAUGUGGAGUUUAGGCUGGGUAGUCAGCAGGCAUCCCUGGGGUCCUGAGGUUCAGGGUGUGCUCCUGCAGGGCUGGCACCCAGUUUACCCUGACACCCUGCUGCCACAAAUGACUACCAGGAUGCCUCAUUUGCUGCCUGGCUUUCCUGUAGUCGGGGCAGGUGUCUGCUCUUUCCUUCACCAUUAGCAGCUCCAAGUUGGAACUGUGCUACUGGCUAGGCUAGUAAUUGACCAUGUACCCAGGGAAGCUCAUUUUUUGGGACAGAAUCAAAUUUCUGGUGAGUUAAGACAAAUUCUCAGCCAACCUUCCUGAGGCAAAUGACUGAGAACAGUGUGUCCUGACCACAUCCAAGCAGACACACCUGGAAACGUUCAGAGGUACAUGCAUGGGUUUUUCCCUCAUGGGCUCUUCCUCUCCUGUUUUUAUCUAUAAGUACAUUUGGGGACUCUGGAUGACACCCAGAUUCAGCGCCAGGCUUCUUCAUGGUAUUUACCAACGCCAGGACUCCACCCGCAGGCUCUGAUCAGCAGAGCCCAAAGCAACAGACAAGGCCACAUAUUAACAGUGUCUUGACAGCAUGCAGCUUGCCUCAAAGCAUGGGUCCAGAACAGUAUGACACUUAGCAUCAGUGUAAUUUCUGUGUAGAUUGUAUCCCCAGCAUUGAAAUCAGGGUCCACAUUGAUACAUCCUUGACUAAACCGCUUAUUCACGUGACAUUGACGAUUCUUCCUGAGCUUGGGUCACAGCUAAGAAACCUGCUGUUUCACUGGGGCACUUGCUGGGUGCCGCCCUAGCGUGCCAGCAGGUCUGUCUGGACCUGGCUCAGUCGCCGGCACCAUCUCCUGGAUUGUACCGUGGCGACCCCGAAAGAGUUAACCAGGCACUGCACCAAACAGGACGCUCCAAUUGGUGGUUUUCGGAGACUGCCCUGAGGAAUGAGGGUCCCUGCCCCGCUGGAAAUAUUUCUUCCUUGAGUUCUGGCAGCUUUUACUUGGCUGCAGAAUAUCUAGGACCACUUUGCCUUUUCUGGUCAUAAACACUUGUAGUGCUGAAUCUGAAGCCUUGAUUAUUUUUCUUAACAGUGCCUUUGAAAAAGCCGAAUGUUUCCAUGGUGACGCAUUCUGUUUGUUUAAAUCUUCAUUUAUACGUGGUUCCACCCACAUGCUUCUCUUCAAAGGGGCCUAGCCUACAACCGCCCCUUCUCUUCCUUCCCAUUCUUCUCUUUGGAAGGAACCCCCGUAUGAGACCCCUGUCAAAGUUGUGCUGCUGGAAUUCGUUUGUAGAUAGAGUUCUGUGUCUGGGGGAAAGGACUUUGAUGCUUGUUUGUUAGUUUGUGGAACACAGACUAACGAUAGCUUUAAAAGCUAGUUUGGUGCUGUGCCACGGUAUAAAAGCCUCCCCCAGCGUUGAACAGAACCCAUGCAUGGGCUGGGCUGUGUCUUAGUGUGAAAGCUGAAGGGGCCUGCCAGAGCAGUGUAGGAAAACAGGAUAAAGGAGCUGCUGCCUUUGUCGCCAGAAAGGUGCUUUUCUCCAGUGAGCCUACAGAGAGGUAUGUGGCACCGAUGCCACGUUGCAGUUAUCUCUGUGCUAUUACGGCCCUCAUUGUAAGGGUGAUGCCAUGCACCCCUCUGCUCUAGGAACAGUCCCUGUUGUCAUGUGACCUGUAGAAGUGUGGACAUGUCUUCAUUGCUCAGGCAGGGCCCUGGCCUCUGACUCUACUGACUAACUCUGGACACAGAUUCUCCGUUUCUUGAAAGGGAAGAAAAGGUGAAAAGUUGAGAAGCAGCUUAGAGAGUAUUUACUCUGCUGGGGCUGUCACAGCUAUAAUCUCAUAUAUAUUCCUAAAAACAACCCUGAAACUUUUUUUUUUUGUUUUAAAAAUGAGGAAAUGAGGUACCCAGGGGAUUUAACAGACACAGGUCUUGUCUCCCAGGGUGGGCUGGAAGAGCCCUGAGUGGUUAACCUUGCUGGUGGGCAUUUAGUGUAGUCUCUAGAACCUCUUCCCCUUCCCCUGCAGCCAGUGUCCCCCGGGGGCUGGAGCAAGGCUACGCUUUCCUGGCCCCUUCACAAGGUAGCAUCACGCAGACUCCUGUCCUUGCUUGGGAGCCUGGGCAGAAGCUCUCCAGUGGCCAGGAAGCAGGAAGAAGUGGUGGGCCGAGUGAGGGGCUCCCAAGGGCCGCAUGAUCAAGUUGCAAUUAGCCGCCCACUGCAGGAAGGGCGUGGGCGAGUGCUGUGACAAGCGCCUGUAAGGCGGCAGUGCCUGUGAUUAUCCAGAUGCCCCCAAAGAACAGCUCACGGGAUCCACACAGCCGCCAGGGCUAGAUCUGGCCAAAACGUCCUGCAGCAGUUAAUAGCUGAGACCCAAGGGCUGCCUUGUCCUCCAAGAGCCUGCGGCAGACAGGCGUCCCCUAGCUUUGCAUGCUGCUGACUGACUGUGAGCUGCUGGCUGACUGUGAGCCGGCUUCUCUGGGCCUGUAAGGACACCAGCCUCUGCUACCCGCUCUUGUUACCUUUACUUGGAGAGUGGGGAUGGGACCAGCUAGGUAGGAAGUGAUUCUACACCCUUGAAGUGUGAUUCAAACAAUGUGGGGUAGGUGGAUGAAGGAUGCUAUGGGAGGCUCCACAAACCUAGGACCAGGGGUAUUCAGCUGCUGGGACCACCGAGGCAGGACUCAGGAGUCAGGGCAAGUAGAAGAGGCCAACAGAAGUCCCUUACUUCAUGCCCUUGUUGGUUAGAGAAAACUUUCCUAGAAUGUUUCCUUUGAAAAUGUAUAAAGGUUAGCCGCUGAUUUCUGCCCAGCAACCUCUCUCUCCGACCAUUAGCCUCACUCCUCUAUUCACCUGGCCUUAGAGGGGAGGGGGACAGCUAGCCUAGAGGUGAGAAACAAGGACUCUGCCCCCUCCAUCUGCUGUAGAUGUGUGGCUGCCAUUGUCUCUUGGGCUUGUGUUGCCCUUUGUGUCCCCAAAGCCCUGUGAGGGUGUCAGAGACUAUUGAACAGAUGAGGAAACAGGCCAAGAGGGGGUUAUGUACUCAUUCAAGGGCCACCCAGGGAAUGAGAGGCAAAGGGAGCAUCAAGACCCUCAUUAAGGGCCUAGACCAGUGUUCUUCCUGCCACGAGGUUCUAGAACCUGCUGACAAGGCCACAUUGCCUGCUAGAACAGCCCUCAAGGAGCAGUAUUGAUGGUGUGUGCUGGCCACGGUUGGGUGGCUCAAUAUGUGGCAAGGAUCCCAGCCACAGCUUGUGGCACACUGUCCUGCUGAAAAGAGCUCUGCACCAACCGAUAAGGGGGGUUAGCUGGAUAAUUUCAGCCCAGAGUGGCCCGGGUUCACCUUUCCAGAGGGGGGAUGUGCCCCCUCUUGUCGUCACAGUCCUGUCUGCCGGAGGGAAUUUGUUGUUUUUGUUGUUAGCUUUUGUCGAAUCUGUUCUAACUCAUAGCGGCUCUAUGUACAACAGAAUGAAAUACUGCCCAGUCCUGCGCCAUCCUCACAAUUGUCGUUAUGCUUGAGCCCAUGGUUGCAGCCACGGUGUUAAUCCAUCUCCAUGAGGGUCUUCCUCCUUUUUGCUGACCCUCUACUUUACCAAGCUUGAUGUCCUUCUCCAGGGACAUCAUGACAAUGUGUCCAAAGUAUGUGAGACAAAGUCUCGCCAUCCUUACUUCUAAUGAGCAUUCUGGCUGUGCUCCUUCCAAGACAGAUUUCUUUGUUCUUCUCUCAGUCCAUGGUAUAUUCAAGGAAGCAGCUAUGAGCUCCUCCCUCCUAGCCUCACAUCUGCUAGGAUUACUGCCGCAGCCCUUGUGAGGAGAAAGAGCCUCAGCUUGGGAUCACAGCUCUGACCUUCCUAGCUGAGUCAUCUCGGACCAGUCAGUCUCUGAGCCUCAGUUUCCUCAGCCGUGAAAAGGACACAGAACCAGCCACCUCUCAAGGGUCUUGUGAGGGUUGAGAUCAUACACGUGAUGUGCCUAACAGUAAUGUGCUUAGUCCUGUAAUCUUCUUAAGUGGGACAUUUCACAUGCUCAGUUGCUGGGUGGACGAUCCCCCUCAGCUGACUGGUGGUCUUGGGCCCUGCCCUCCCUUUGGCAGGCUCUCCAGGUGCCUGAGUCUCUGUUGCAGUCAGCAGGGGGAGGUCCAGAGGCUUUCGGGAGGAUGGUGAAAAUGAAAAUGGCGCAUGAGUGAGGCUGAUCCCAUUAAGAUCCCGCUGCACUUAAGCCUCUCCUGGGAAGUUCUUUAGACCAAGCUGAAGAGAGCUCCCAGAUGCCGAAGUGGCCUCACACUGAUGCUUAGCUCGCUCUCGGCUGCCCUGCCACAUGCUCCCCAGGUAAUUGAUUCCCUAAUGCCUGGUCCCUGGCCUGAUUCCAUGGCCUUGUCCCCCUCAGGCCAGUUCUUGACGUGUCCCAGAUGAGCGAGCAGGUCACCAACCAGGCCACACCACGCCCGGCCGGUCUUCAUUGUUUUCUUGUCCUCGCAGGCCAUUUUUCAACUCUGUGCAGAACUCCUUGGCCUGGAAGAUUAAACAAGAUUACCAGGCUGGAAUUCUGUUCAAGACCGACCAGGGCUUUUAUGUUCAAAAAUUGUGUGCCACAGGCAAUGGGGCCACGCAAAAGGAAGGCACAGUCCUUUCCAUUACCGAGAGAAGUAAACCGGGGUGGCUUUUAUUUUCUUUUUGAAAAUUAGGCUUGUUUUUUCUUUUUUUCUUGCCACAAAAGGAGUAUGUGUUCUUUGCAAGAAAUUAAAAAGAAAGACAAACAAAAAGAAAAAAAAAAUCGUUUGUAGUUUCACAACCCUGAGAUGACAACUGUUUACACUUUUCUGUGUAUUUGUAUGCUUUUUCAAAAAACAAAUAAGAUCGUACUGAGCUUACGGUAUUACAGCCCUUUUUCACUUACUGUGUACAUUGGUGCCUGGCAUUAAUUAUUGUUCCUUAACAUUAUUUUGAGUGGCUACAUAGUAUUCCACUAUCUAAGUGUAUCUUUAUUUAACCAGUUGCUUAAACCCCUAUGCCUUCGAAUUGAUUCUAAGUCAGCAACCCUGUAGGACAGACUAGAACUGCCCCCGUAGGGUUUCCUAGGCUGUAAUCUUUACAGAAAGGAGCCCUGCUGGUGAAGUGGUUAAAGCACUUGGCUGCUAACUAAAAAACUAGGCAGUUUGAACCCACCAGUGGCUCCAUGAGAGAAAGAUGUGGCAGUCUGCUUCUGUAAAGAUUACAGCCUUGGAAACCCUAUGGGGCCGUUCUGUCCUGUCCUACAGGGCCACUAUGAGUCAGAUUUGACUCCUUGGCAACAUGUUUGGUUUCUGGAAUCGUUACAGGAGAAGACUGCCAGGUCUUUUUCUGCGAAGCCACUAGUGGGUUCUAACCUUUGGGUGAGCAGCCGAACGCUUAACCACUGUGCCACCAGGGCACCUUAUCAGUCCCCUGGCAUUGGGUAUUUAGAUUGUGGUUGAGAUCGAUGAUGUUUUUGCUAUUAGUGUGCUUGAUUUGGGGAAUUAUAAGACUAGAUGGUGGGAGGCAGGGUGCUGUUGGAGUGAAGAACCCAGGCUUGGGCCUCAUUCAGACCUCCAAACAAUCAAAAGAGCAGCUGACACUUUCAGAGAGCCUGAAUUAUGUGCCAGGCACUGUGUUUAGUGCUUUACAUAUAUUAACUCAUGAUUCGUCAACCCUCACAACAGCCCAUGAAACAGGUACUAUUUUUAUCCCCCUUUUUACAAUUGAAGAAAUGGAGGCUCAGUGUCUCCUCUUAUUGGCAGCAUAGCUGUGUGCAGCCUUCAGUGUUAAGUCCUAGUGCACAUCUAUGAUUGCCCCUUAGAGUGGGGUCACUGGCCCUGAGGAAGGCUACACGUAUUUUUAAGGCUUUGAGUACAUAAUGUAAAUGGCUUUCCAGAAAGAUCACACCAAUUUACCCUCCUCCCAAUGGUGCUGGAGCAUAUCUGAGAAUCUCAUGCCGUGCUUUACUUGCCAACUGUGUGCCAGGUCCUACCUCCGUGCUUUAUAGAGGUUCUCUCCUGAAGGGCACAGGGUACGCAAGCACUUAAGACAUCUUAGCAUUGUUGUUGUUGUUAUAUCUUUUAUCAUCUAGUGAGAAAACCAGACACCCACUUGAAGUACGUCAAUGAUGAGGUGAAAGUGACAAAUGAUACUGAAGAAUGACAGUGACAUAGGGGUCCUGACAACAAGUGCUGCAGUAGUGAGAGGAACGUGCAACGUGGUGUGGGCGUGGUGGUCAGGGAAGGUGAUGGUGGAGGAGGCACUCGGAGAAUGGAUAGGAAGACCCUGUGAAUGAUAGCCUGUGAGCGGUGAGGAACCUGGGUGGCCUGACUCAAGGGCUUGUGGUGGGGAGUGACAAGUAGGAGUGAUGAUGAGAGGAAGACAGGCCCACAUCAGCCCCAGGAGCCUCGUUAGGCAGAGGGCCUGGCAGUGGGAGCCACUGAGGGCUAGGAGAGCGACUACCAGGCUGAGCAGGAUGGAGUGAGGGGACAGGACUGGAGGUGGGAAGACCUGUUGGGAGACCCUUAAAAGAGGCCUCGUGUAAGUGGCCUAGUAGGUGCCUGUGGGAGUGGCAGGGAGAGAAGAUAUUGGGCUUUCAGGUACCAGUAAUGCCGCUUUGUCCCAUGAGUACUGAAGCAAGAAAAAAGCAGACACAGAACUCAGAGAUCUAAGGUCAAAAUAUAAACAUUAUUACUGAUAGAGCUAGAUUGGAAUGUCCAUGACCACAGUCAGACUUCUUGAUACUCCUCCGUCAAGUCUAGACCUUGGGGCAUCCUGUUCAAGGAACAGUCUACACAGUAGGGCUGGCUUGUCCCUGACCCCCUGCCAGGAGAACAUUGGCUCCCCCACUGAGCCUGCAAGUGAGGAGGGGAAGUGGGCCUCCGAACUUCACAGAAGUUGAAGUUGAAAGGUGGCCCUCCCAUGUGGGGGCCUUGGGAGGUAAGCAGCAGGCACACUGUCUAGGUGCAGGCAGAUCUGAAAGUGGGCAGGAAAGGGCCUGAUUCCACUUGCCCCCAUUUCAGCUUCAUCUCCCAAGCUCCCUUCUCAGGUUAAGUUACUCCUCCUUUCUUGGGAAAUAGAGAGUAAGGGGCAUCAGGAGAAGCGUGGAUGUUGCCUUCCCAAUAGUCUUCCUGGGAGUGGAAUUCUUUCCUCAUCACAACAUAAGGAUAGAAUCCUUCCCCCUCCCAGCCCUGCCAUCCACCACCACCUUCCCCCAGCCCAAUCCAAGAUGUUUUGUAGGAAAGGCCAUCGGCAAUCAUGGUGGCAGGGGAGUGCAGUGGCAUAAAUUUGGUCUCAACCCUACCUGGUUCUAGUCCCAGCUCCUCCACUUACUGUGGCAAGGCCUUUGGCAGAUUUCUCAUCCUGAGUUUCUCCAUCUGUAAACCAGGGAUAAGAAAACCCAUCCCACAGGGUUGUUGCUGGGAUUGAGUGAGACCAUGUUUAUCUGUCUCGGUACUGGCAGCUAGCAGCUGCCCACCGACCUGGAGUGUUGGGUGACAGUGGCCGCAGGGGGGCCUGGGCUAACAGGGCUUUGGAUGGGUCUCGCUGCAAAGGAAGGACUGCUGUGUAGAUUAGAAGGAAAACAGGCCUUGGGGGAGGGAGGCACCAGUUAGGUAGAGAGAGACUGGGGAGGCAUCUGCACAGGGGCAGUUGUGGAGGGGGAUGAAAGGGAGUGUGGAAAGGAACCUGCACCUGGGAUAUUCCCUUAGGGAAGGAUGGAGGAGGAAAAGGAGACAGAAGGAACAACCCGAGAGGAAGGGGCAUCUGAGAACAUUCUGUCACAAGAGCCAAAAGCAAUGACUGACUCCCACCUCCAUCCCCAAGAUGAAGCCGGGGUUUUUCUCUCUCUAGCCUGUGAACAACAAAGGACAAGAGCCCAGAAGGUUGUUAGCGUCCAAGGUUAAGAAGGUCAUUAAGACUGCAUCGGCCUGUGACCAGAAGAGCUAUAUGGUGCACAGCUACAACCGCUGACUUCACUGACAGGGAGUGCAACGGAGAGUCCCUGAGGGAGCAGGAGAGCAGUGGGAUGCAAACCCCAAAUUCUUGUAAAGAGAUCAGACUUAAUGAUCUGACUGAGACUAGAAGGACCCCAGAUGUCAUGGUCCCCAGACCUUCUGAUAGCCCAAGACAGGAACCAUUCAUUCUCAGAGCCAACUCUUCAGACAGGGAUUGGACUGGACCAUGGGAUAGAAAGUGAUACUGGUGAGGAAUGAACGUCUUGGAUCACAUAGACACAUGAGACUAUGUUGACAUCUCCUGUCUGGAGAGGAGAUGAGAGGGCAGAGGGGGUCAGAAGCUGGCCGAAUGGACAGGAAAAUAGAGAGUGGAGGGAAGGAAUGUGCUGUAUCAUUAGGGGGAGAGCAACUAGGAGUAUAUAGCAAGGUGUAUAUAAAUUUUUAUAUGAGAGACUGACUUGAUUUGUAAACUUUCACUUAAAGCACAAUAAAAUCUGAAAAAAAAAAAAAAAGAUUAAGAAACCAGUCAUCUGAAAAGUACUGGGUGAGCAGUGUCCAGUCAUCAGGAGACUGGGCCCUCGUCCCGUUUCUGGCUGCUGUGUAGCCCUGGGUAAAGCCUUUUCCUUCCCUUAGCCUCAGUUUCCCUGUCUGUAAAAUGCAGAAUUGAACUACCUUAAUGUUGUUUUAGCUUUUUGACAUACACAUUUAAUGAAAACUAAAGCUUCAUGAAACAAAACUUAAUUGCAUGUGUUUACUCUGAUGUUUUCUGUUCCAUUUAUGUAUCAUUUAAAAAUGCUGGUGACAGCCCCUAAACCGAUGAUAUGCUGACUAAUGGGUCCUGAGCCACGGUCUCAAAACACUGAACCCGCUUAUCUGGAAGGUUCCUCCCUGCCCUGGCGGGCUGCGGUUCUGUCCCAUUUCCUCCAGCCUCACCAUCCCAUCAGCUGAGCCUUUGUGGCUUUCUUCUUUGUAUUCUUCAAGCAGAUACUGGAGACUCUUGAUUGACAGUGUGGCCAUGAUCCAUCUCAGUCUUCUGGCCGCCUGGCUGGAUGCUUCCUCCUCAGUCUCAUGAGCUAUGGCAUUCUCUUGCCAUGGCACAGGAAGGAGUGGGCUUGGAUGUAAUUCAUACUCCCCUCCCUACCCCACUCCUGAUUCUACUGCUCAGGCCAGAGGACACCAGUCCUCUCUCUGGAAAAGGUAUGGGGAAAUAGAGCCUGGCUGCCAGUAAUUCCAGGCCCUUCCCCAGGCUCAGCAGCUUCAUCUUCACUUUUGUCCCUAAAUCCAAGCGCCACCAUCCUGGUAGAUGCCGGUGAGUGAGAAGAGCUGACAGACUUGGAUUCAAAUCUCACCUCCACCUCUGCCUGGCUGUGUGGCCUUGGGAAAGUUCCCUAACAUCUCUGAGCCUGUUUCCUCAACUAAAACUUGGAAAUAAUAAUAGCCAUAUUGGAGGGUAAACUUAAGGAUGAGAUGAUGCAUACAAGGUGCUUUGCUUUGGGGCCUGGCAUGAGGGGGGUGCUCAGGAAAAACUCAUAACUGCCCUCUCCAUUCCCAUGUUUCUCUUUGAGAGAACACUCCAGCAGGAGAAAUGACAGCUGUUGCCACCUUGAAAAAGGAAGGGGGAAAUGCCUUCAACAGCCAGGGGCAGGCCAGGCAACAUCAGAGAGAGGCUGCCUUAAGUCGAGUGCCCUGGAAGUCACCCUUACUCACCCCCACCCCAACAUACCAAAAAUGCAGAGACUGGGACACAGCUGGAACCUCUGUCCAUGGUGCAGCCUGAGGCAGCGUCCGAGGAGGAACAUAGGGUUCUAGGGAGAACAACCUUGCUGGGUCCCAAAAAGUGGGCCAGUAACUACUCACAUGAGGGCACUGAUGGUUCAGUGGUAGAAUUCUCAUCUCCCAUGCAGGAGACGCAGGUUCGAUUCCCGGCCAAUGCAUCUCAUACACAGCCACCACCCAUCUGUCACUGGAGGCUUGCGUGUUGCUAUGAUGCCAAACAGGUUUCAGCAGAGCGUCCAGAAUAAGGUGGACUAGGAAGAAAGGCCUGACAAUCUACUUCCAAAAAUCAGCCAGUGAAAACCCUGUGGAUCACAACUGUUCGAUCUGAAACUGGUCAUGGGGAUGGUGCAGGACCAGGCAGCCUUUUGUUCCCCUGUGCAUGGCACCACCACGAGUCGGGCGGACCCCGCAGCAGCCAACAACAGCAACAGCUGUUUACAAGGCUGGUGCCGUGUCCUGUCCCAGGGCUGGACUCAGCAUGUUACAUGAAAGGGUUUUCAAGCCUAACGCCUUGGAAUCCAUUGAAAGCCUCUCUCCUAUGGGACCUCAACUUAUGUUCUUGUGAGUCACAUGGUUGGAUCCUCAUAACCACCACCUGUGAGAAGGAUGGGGCAGAUGUGAGGCCUUCACAAUCACAGGGAAGUGAGAAGAACUGCGUAGCAAACACCAGAGCCAGGAUGUCCAAGCAGGCGCUCUUGAGACUCUAUUUACUGCUUCUCUUGCUGCUACCCAUUGCCAAGGCUGCGUGAAGAUUGGCUUUGCAGAUGGUCUGCAGAGCUCACAGCACUUGGUUUUUGCCCCCCACCUCCCAUGAUGGUACAUUCUUGAAAAGUGGAUUUGAGCCAAACUGGAGACGCAGGAUGAGGGUGCCUCCACUGACUAGAGGCUGCUGGUUCAGGGCAGCGGCUCUGCCAGAACUUGGAAGACAGUUCCUCCGUGGGCUCCUGACUUGAUAGCCACACCCUUGUGCGCAUCCACUCUUGACAGCUGCAGAAACUGGGGCUCAGAGCUGGAGUGACUUACCCAAAGUCACACAGCUCUGACAGCGAAGCUGGGAGGUCUUUAGCAAGGCUUUCGCGUGCUGGGAGAUGGUACCACCCAGUUAGACCUCUGACCCUCUUGCCUCUGUGCUCCUGGCCAGCUUCCAUUGUGCUCCACUCUGUUGUGUCAAUAACCAGAAGACUGUCUUUCCAAAGCAAAAGCUUGUAGGUUCACCUUGGAAAAUAAAGUCAUUGAGGCGAGCUUUAUGGAGCACGUGGUAUUGUCUCAUGGUUGAACAGAGGCAGUGAAACUUCUCAGGACAUAAGGGGCAAGCCCUGGAUCUAUGCUUGACAGCUGGAGGAUGUCUCUUGGCCUCCAUUUCCCUGUCCAUAAAUGAGGGGCUAGAGGCAGAUGGGAGCCCUGGUGGUACAGUGGUUAAGAGCUUGGCUGCUAACCAAAAGGUCAGCAGUUUGAAUCCACCAGCCACUCCUUGGAAAUCCUGUGGGGCAGUUCUACUCUGUCCCGUAGGGUCACUAUGAGUCAGAAUCGACUCAAUGGCAACAGGUUUGGUUUGGUUUUGGUAGGGCCAGAUGGACCCAUUCCAGAGCACCUGUACUCCCAGGAGGCAGCGAGGCUCAGUGUAAAGUCCUGGACUAAGUUUCAUCCCGACUGUGGCCCUACCUGGCUGCUUGCUGUGUCACCUUGAUCUGGUUCCCACCCCUCCAGAACCUCUCUGUCUUCAUCGGCAAAGAUACAGCUGCUUUGCUGAGGUCACAGAACGGAAACUGCUUUGCAAAAGUUGCAGGGCCAUGGACUGUGAAGGGUUUUCUAUUCAGUCAUGUAGUGAUUCUUAGACUUGUGGUCCCAGGGGAGGGAUAUGUGGCCUCCGAGCAAGGAUGCGGGAAGGACCAAGCCAGGGACCCUGGGCGGCGGCCCCAUGCUGGGAAGCAGGUCCUUGGAGGGAAACAAGUUCUGGUUACUCCCAUCAGCACGGCCAGGCCCCCGGGGAGGUUCUCCUGGGCUCCAGUUCCCCGAGUCCCCAAGAAUCUCCCUGCCCCCCACUCUAGCCUGGCAUUCCCUGGGACUUAUCCUGGGAGCCAGGGUGCCAGGGUGCCGCCCCCACGAGACCAGCCCUGCCGUCCAGCUCCUGCCUGCCUGCCAGCAGCUGGUGUCCCAUUGCACUGUGUACAGUAAGCCCUAGAUUAGACGGUGAGGUCAUCGCGGC